AUGAACGCUAGCUACAGGCUUAACACAUGCAAGUCGAGGGGCAUCUUAGCUUGCUAAGGGCGACCGGCGCACGGGUGAGUAACACGUAUCCAACCUGCCGUCUACUCUUGGACAGCCUUCUGAAAGGAAGAUUAAUACAAGAUGGCAUCAUGUUCACAUGUUACAUGAUUAAAGGUAUUCCGGUAGACGAUGGGGAUGCGUUCCAUUAGAUAGUAGGCGGGGUAACGGCCCACCUAGUCUUCGAUGGAUAGGGGUUCUGAGAGGAAGGUCCCCCACAUUGGAACUGAGACACGGUCCAAACUCCUACGGGAGGCAGCAGUGAGGAAUAUUGGUCAAUGGGCGAGAGCCUGAACCAGCCAAGUAGCGUGAAGGAUGACUGCCCUUGGGUUGUAAACUUCUUUUAUAAAGGAAUAAAGUCGGGUAUGCAUACCCGUUUGCAUGUACUUUAUGAAUAAGGAUCGGCUAACUCCGUGCCAGCAGCCGCGGUAAUACGGAGGAUCCGAGCGUUAUCCGGAUUUAUUGGGUUUAAAGGGAGCGUAGAUGGAUGUUUAAGUCAGUUGUGAAAGUUUGCGGCUCAACCGUAAAAUUGCAGUUGAUACUGGAUAUCUUGAGUGCAGUUGAGGCAGGCGGAAUUCGUGGUGUAGCGGUGAAAUGCUUAGAUAUCACGAAGAACUCCGAUUGCGAAGGCAGCCUGCUAAGCUGCAACUGACAUUGAGGCUCGAAAGUGUGGGUAUCAAACAGGAUUAGAUACCCUGGUAGUCCACACGGUAAACGAUGAAUACUCGCUGUUUGCGAUAUAAGCAAGCGGCCAAGCGAAAGCGUUAAGUAUUCCACCUGGGGAGUACGCCGGCAACGGUGAAACUCAAAGGAAUUGACGGGGGCCCGCACAAGCGGAGGAACAUGUGGUUUAAUUCGAUGAUACGCGAGGAACCUUACCCGGGCUUAAAUUGAACAGAAUAUAUUGGAAACAGUAUAGCCGUAAGGCUGUUGUGAAGGUGCUGCAUGGUUGUCGUCAGCUCGUGCCGUGAGGUGUCGGCUUAAGUGCCAUAACGAGCGCAACCCUUAUCUUUAGUUACUAACAGGUCAUGCUGAGGACUCUAGAGAGACUGCCGUCGUAAGAUGGAGGAAGGUGGGGAUGACGUCAAAUCAGCACGGCCCUUACGUCCGGGGCUACACACGUGUUACAAUGGGGGGUACAGAAGGCGGCUACCUGGUGACAGGAUGCUAAUCCCAAAAACCUCUCUCAGUUCGGAUCGAAGUCUGCAACCCGACUUCGUGAAGCUGGAUUCGCUAGUAAUCGCGCAUCAGCAUGGCGCGGUGAAUACGUUCCCGGGCCUUGCACACACCGCCCGUCA
This 1355-nucleotide ribosomal RNA is filed under the name uncultured bacterium. RNAcentral's name for it is "16S ribosomal RNA". It matches the Rfam family "Bacterial small subunit ribosomal RNA", at positions 29 to 1399 of the family's 1533-position model. RNAcentral also lists the same sequence under 1 other name. The record is from RNAcentral.